UACGGGGGGGGCAAGCGUUGUUCGGAAUUACUGGGCGUAAAGGGCUCGUAGGCGGCCAACUAAGUCAGACGUGAAAUCCCUCGGCUUAACCGGGGAACUGCGUCUGAUACUGGUUGGCUUGAAUCCGGGAGAGGGAUGUGGAAUUCCAGGUGUAGCGGUGAAAUGCGUAGAUAUCAGGAAGAACACCCGUGGCGAAGGCGGCUCUCUGGGACGGUACUGACGCUGAGACGCGAAAGCGUGGGGAGCGAACAGG
RNAcentral lists this ribosomal RNA (253 nucleotides) under uncultured bacterium. Its description in RNAcentral is "partial 16S ribosomal RNA". It matches the Rfam family "Bacterial small subunit ribosomal RNA", at positions 524 to 776 of the family's 1533-position model. The record is from RNAcentral.